RNAcentral lists this ribosomal RNA (459 nucleotides) under uncultured bacterium. RNAcentral's name for it is "partial 16S ribosomal RNA". It matches the Rfam family "Bacterial small subunit ribosomal RNA", at positions 338 to 795 of the family's 1533-position model. The record is from RNAcentral.
CCUACGGGUGGCAGCAGUGAGGAAUAUUGGUCAAUGGACGCAAGUCUGAACCAGCCAUGCCGCGUGCAGGAAGACGGCUCUAUGAGUUGUAAACUGCUUUUGUACGAGGGUAAAUCCCGAUACGUGUAUCGGGUUGAAAGUAUCGUACGAAUAAGCAUCGGCUAACUCCGUGCCAGCAGCCGCGGUAAUACGGAGGAUGCGAGCGUUAUCCGGAUUUAUUGGGUUUAAAGGGUGCGCAGGCGGAAGAUCAAGUCAGCGGUAAAAUUGAGAGGCUCAACCUCUUCGAGCCGUUGAAACUGGUGUUCUUGAGUGAGUGAGAAGUAUGCGGAAUGCGUGGUGUAGCGGUGAAAUGCAUAGAUAUCACGCAGAACUCCGAUUGCGAAGGCAGCAUACCGGCGCUCAACUGACGCUCAUGCACGAAAGUGUGGGUAUCGAACAGGAUUAGAUACCCCUGUAGUC